This is a long non-coding RNA of Dreissena polymorpha, 3026 nucleotides long. RefSeq lists it as uncharacterized. The record is from RefSeq and is a predicted model, not a curated record. The transcript has 2 exons. NCBI's taxonomy places the organism in Eukaryota, Metazoa, Mollusca, Bivalvia, Myida, Dreissenidae.
AAUGUCGGUUUAACGUUAGUUAAGUUAACCGUUCAUUCUGGACGUUGAUUUUGUGGACACCAAUAUGCGGUUGGACGGGCGUCACAUUAAUUGUGUCCGCAGUUAAGUAUUUCAAUUUUCAUCGAAUCUUCACCAAACUGUCUGCAAAUUUCUGUUGACACAGAGUUGGAAUCGUGUUUUGACUUCAGUCAAUAUGCAAACUGUACUUAAGAGUAAUCUCCCUUAAUAAAUACAAACAACGGCGAAAAUUGCCGUUUGAUUUUAAUUCUUACUGGUUAAAUAAAAUUGUCACCAUACUUUCUAGAAAUAUUUGUUUGCAUAAAAUGGAGCCGUAGUUCACUAACUAGCCGCAUUUCGUUCGGCAUCUGAUGGCCAAUACACCUUUGUCACGAAAACGACGACCUCAACCACCACUAUCACCACCGCCACAACAUUUUUCUGAACCAGAACUACCACCACCACCAUGUUAGUAUCAUCAGCGUCAACACCUUAGCCGUAGUAAUAGUAAUCACCAUAGUUGUCAUCAUCGUCUUCGUUUCAAUAAUCAUCACCAAUAUCCCCUCAUUGCUUCAUCAUUGUCAAGCCAUCAUCGUUGAACGAUCAUUAAUCUGCAAAAUUAUCGCAAUCAUCUUUAUUCCUGUACCUUACUUUCAAAGUAUUUGUCCUCCUUAUAGUAUCGUGUCUUUAACAAAGAACCUUCAAGAAGUGCUGGAUAGUUUAUGUGUUUUUUUCAAUUUUAAGAAGUUGUAAUUUAUUUGAUGGUUAUCCAUGACCAUUAGGACGAUCAUUCUCAUGAUUUCCGUAGUUCGCUGGAAAGUAGAUCAUGGCUAUUCCACGGUGCAGUUAUGAUUUUUAAUUACGUAACACACACUUUUGUUAGUUCGUUUAUGGAUUAUUAUGCCCCCCUUCGAAGAAGAGGGGGUAUAUUGCUUUGCUCAUGUCGGUCUGUCGGUCGGUCGGUCCGUCCACCAGGUGGUUGUCAGACGAUAACUCAAGAACGCUUGGGCCUAGGAUCAUGAAACUUCAUAGGUACAUUGAUCAUGACUUGCAGAUGACCCCUAUUGAUUUUGAGGUCACUAGGUCAAAGGUCAAGGUCACGGUGACCCGAAAUAGUAAAAUGGUUUCCGGAUGAUAACUCAAGAACGCAUACGCCUAGGAUCAUGAAACUUCAUGGGUAGAUUGAUCAUGACUCGCAGAUGACCCCAAUUGAUUUUGAGGUCACUAGGUCAAAGGUCAAGGUCACGGUGACCCGAAAUAGUAAAAUGAUUUUCGGAUGAUAAUUCAAGAACGCAUAUGCCUAGGAUCAUGAAACUUUAUAGGUAGAUUGAUCAUGACUCGCAGAUGACCCCUAUUGAUUUUCAGGUCACUAGGUCAAAGGUCAAGGUCACGGUGACCCGAAAUAGUAAAAUGAUUUUCGGAUGAUAACUCAAGAACGCAUAUGCCUAGGAUCAUGAAACUUCAUAGGUAGAUUGAUCAUGACUCACAGAUGACCCCUAUUGAUUUUGAGGUCACAAGGUCAAAGGUCAAGGUCAUGGUGACCCGAAAUAGUAAAAUGAUUUUCGGAUGAUAACUCAAGAAUGCUUUUGCCUAGGAUCAUGACACUUCAUAGGUACAUUAAUCGUGACUUGCAGAUGACCCCUAUUGAUUUUCAGGUCACUAGGUCACAGGUCAAGGUAACAGUGACAAAAGUCGUAUUCACACAAUGGCUGCCAGUACAACGGACAGCCCAUAUGGGGGCAUGCAUGUUUUACAAACAGCCCUUGUUUAUAGAUUUAUCAAAUGUUUUAUAUGCUGAUAUUUUCAUAAAAUUUUAACAUAUUUUAAGAACAACAUGAGCAAGAGUUUCGUUUUUCCAUUAGGUUACUUUUUAAGAACAAGCACAUGCACAUAGUUACAAUUCUUAGCAACCAAUCAGAAAAGCAGAUACUAUGAGACAAUUGUACAUGUACAUGUAAAUUAAACAUAUUCAACUGGGAGCUAGGUCUAGUUAGUAUUGUACAUUGCCGAUUGCAGUUUUCGUUAUUAUGUCCAAGAUUACACAUUUAACUUAAGAUUGGCAUAUAACACAUUCGUGUAUUUGUAUUUUUUUAAAUUCUAAAAUGCGUAUGCAUUAAUUAAGAGGGCCGAUACUACGGAUAGACAUGCUAUUUUUGAUAAUUUAAGAUAUUUUAAUACGACUACCUACAGUUAUACCUUAUACGAAAACAAAGUUUGGGCACAUUUUAAUUUAGGUUUACUUAAAGGAAAUACAUUUUACUUAUUUCAGCGAGAACGAAAUCAGAUACAGUAUGUGUAUCAAACUUUACAUAGUAUAUGAACACUUCGCGUGGUAUUGUAUAUUGAUUUAUCGGAUCAAGGUACUAAAAUUGAAUGUCACGAUGAUUUCUACAAUAACCUACUUUGGAGUUAUAACAACACCAAAAAAAUCUAACACGCUAAGUAUCAAUGCCUAUUUUGGAUUUAAACGAAAGAGCGUUCUAAGGAUAGUGCGCAUUGGCGUUUAACAGUAUAGUGGGUUACUCACCUUUAAAGUGAACAACGAAGUUGUUUUUAUAUCAAAAUACGGCGCAGCAAUGUACAUUUUAUCAUACCACCGCAUUAAUAUCUGCCUGAUAUAUUUUGUUAUAUCAUGGUCAACAGGAAGUUCUUAUAUCAGUCAAUGUUUGGAGUUACGUGGGAUUUGAAAUAAAGUCAACAAUUUUCUUUCAACAUGAAUCAGGUUUAACAAAACAAACAAUUUGAUACCAAGAACGUACAUAUUUUAUUCUAGUUUAAAGUCAUAAAUCACAAAAACGUUAUUUUUUUUAAAUCACCACAGCCCGCACUACAGAAGUUAAAUGACGUCAUCAAUGGGGCAACACAUCGUAAAUAUCGAUAUUGCCAUUUCGCUCGCAAGUGUUGCACAGAAAGUCGCGACAAAUGAUAACUGUGUGCUAAUCAUCAACUAUUUAAACAAACGAUUUAACACCCUUAUGUCAAUAAUGUCACCAUCAUCAAAAUGUAAAUUUCAAUACACAUCUCCAAAA